CCUUUGACGUUAGCGGCGGACGGGUGAGUAACACGUGGGUAACCUACCUAUAAGACUGGGAUAACUUCGGGAAACCGGAGCUAAUACCGGAUAAUAUUUCGAACCGCAUUGUUCGAUAGUGAAAGGUGGUUUUGCUAUCACUUAUAGAUGGACCCGCGCCGUAUUAGCUAGUUGGUAAGGUAACGGCUUACCAAGGCGACGAUACGUAGCCGACCUGAGAGGGUGAUCGGCCACACUGGAACUGAGACACGGUCCAGACUCCUACGGGAGGCAGCAGCU
RNAcentral lists this ribosomal RNA (279 nucleotides) under uncultured Staphylococcus sp. RNAcentral's name for it is "partial 16S ribosomal RNA". It matches the Rfam family "Bacterial small subunit ribosomal RNA", at positions 83 to 355 of the family's 1533-position model. Lineage: Bacteria; Bacillati; Bacillota; Bacilli; Caryophanales; Staphylococcaceae. The record is from RNAcentral.